Molecule: ribosomal RNA, 1438 nt
Filed under: Mammaliicoccus sciuri
Lineage: Bacteria; Bacillati; Bacillota; Bacilli; Caryophanales; Staphylococcaceae
Description: bacterial SSU rRNA
Rfam family: Bacterial small subunit ribosomal RNA
Source: RNAcentral
GUGCUAUACAUGCAGUCGAGCGAACAGAUGAGAAGCUUGCUUCUCUGAUGUUAGCGGCGGACGGGUGAGUAACACGUGGGUAACCUACCUAUAAGACUGGGAUAACUCCGGGAAACCGGGGCUAAUACCGGAUAAUAUUUUGAACCGCAUGGUUCAAUAGUGAAAGACGGUUUCGGCUGUCACUUAUAGAUGGACCCGCGCCGUAUUAGCUAGUUGGUAAGGUAACGGCUUACCAAGGCGACGAUACGUAGCCGACCUGAGAGGGUGAUCGGCCACACUGGAACUGAGACACGGUCCAGACUCCUACGGGAGGCAGCAGUAGGGAAUCUUCCGCAAUGGGCGAAAGCCUGACGGAGCAACGCCGCGUGAGUGAUGAAGGUCUUCGGAUCGUAAAACUCUGUUGUUAGGGAAGAACAAAUUUGUUAGUAACUGAACAAGUCUUGACGGUACCUAACCAGAAAGCCACGGCUAACUACGUGCCAGCAGCCGCGGUAAUACGUAGGUGGCAAGCGUUAUCCGGAAUUAUUGGGCGUAAAGCGCGCGUAGGCGGUUUCUUAAGUCUGAUGUGAAAGCCCACGGCUCAACCGUGGAGGGUCAUUGGAAACUGGGAAACUUGAGUGCAGAAGAGGAGAGUGGAAUUCCAUGUGUAGCGGUGAAAUGCGCAGAGAUAUGGAGGAACACCAGUGGCGAAGGCGGCUCUCUGGUCUGUAACUGACGCUGAUGUGCGAAAGCGUGGGGAUCAAACAGGAUUAGAUACCCUGGUAGUCCACGCCGUAAACGAUGAGUGCUAAGUGUUAGGGGGUUUCCGCCCCUUAGUGCUGCAGCUAACGCAUUAAGCACUCCGCCUGGGGAGUACGACCGCAAGGUUGAAACUCAAAGGAAUUGACGGGGACCCGCACAAGCGGUGGAGCAUGUGGUUUAAUUCGAAGCAACGCGAAGAACCUUACCAAAUCUUGACAUCCUUUGAYCGCUCUAGAGAUAGAGUCUUCCCCUUCGGGGGACAAAGUGACAGGUGGUGCAUGGUUGUCGUCAGCUCGUGUCGUGAGAUGUUGGGUUAAGUCCCGCAACGAGCGCAACCCUUAAGCUUAGUUGCCAUCAUUAAGUUGGGCACUCUAGGUUGACUGCCGGUGACAAACCGGAGGAAGGUGGGGAUGACGUCAAAUCAUCAUGCCCCUUAUGAUUUGGGCUACACACGUGCUACAAUGGAUAAUACAAAGGGCAGCGAAUCCGCGAGGCCAAGCAAAUCCCAUAAAAUUAUUCUCAGUUCGGAUUGUAGUCUGCAACUCGACUACAUGAAGCUGGAAUCGCUAGUAAUCGUAGAUCAGCAUGCUACGGUGAAUACGUUCCCGGGUCUUGUACACACCGCCCGUCACACCACGAGAGUUUGUAACACCCGAAGCCGGUGGAGUAACCUUUUAGGAGCUAGCCGUCGAACGUG